UCCCUGGUGACCUAGUGAUUAGGGAUUCUGCAUUGUCACUGCUGUGGCUCGGGUUUGAUUCCUGGCCUGGGAA
Molecule: non-coding RNA, 73 nt
Organism: Sus scrofa (pig)
Lineage: Eukaryota; Metazoa; Chordata; Mammalia; Artiodactyla; Suidae
Source: Rfam